CCCAGACUCCUACGGGAGGCAGCAGUGGGGAAUAUUGCACAAUGGGGGAAACCCUGAUGCAGCGACGCCGCGUGAGUGAAGAAGUAAUUCGUUAUGUAAAGCUCUAUCAGCAGGGAAGAAAAUGACGGUACCUGAGUAAGAAGCCCCGGCUAACUACGUGCCAGCAGCCGCGGUAGUACGUAGGGGGCAAGCGUUAUCCGGAUUUACUGGGUGUAAAGGGAGCGUAGACGGCAGUGCAAGUCUGGAGUGAAAUGCGGGGGCUCAACCCCCGGACUGCUCUGGAAACUGUACGGCUGGAGUGCAGGAGAGGUAAGUGGAAUUCCUAGUGUAGCGGUGAAAUGCGUAGAUAUUAGGAGGAACACCAGUGGCGAAGGCGGCUUACUGGACUGUAACUGACGUUGAGGCUCGAAAGCGUGGGGAGCAAACAGGAUUAGAUACCCCAGUA
This 445-nucleotide ribosomal RNA is filed under the name uncultured bacterium. RNAcentral's name for it is "bacterial SSU rRNA". It matches the Rfam family "Bacterial small subunit ribosomal RNA", at positions 330 to 792 of the family's 1533-position model. The record is from RNAcentral.